This 605-nucleotide ribosomal RNA is filed under the name uncultured bacterium. Its description in RNAcentral is "bacterial SSU rRNA". It matches the Rfam family "Bacterial small subunit ribosomal RNA", at positions 50 to 648 of the family's 1533-position model. The record is from RNAcentral.
UACACAUGCAAGUCGAGGGGUAACAGAGAAAAGCUUGCUUUUUUGCUGACGACCGGCGCACGGGUGCGUAACGCGUAUGCAAUCUACCUUUUGCUAAGGGAUAGCCCAGAGAAAUUUGGAUUAAUACCUUAUAGUAUGAUGACUUGGCAUCAAGAUAUCAUUAAAGGUUACGGCAAAAGAUGAGCAUGCGUUCUAUUAGCUAGUUGGUAUGGUAACGGCAUACCAAGGCAACGAUAGAUAGGGGUCCUGAGAGGGAGAUCCCCCACACUGGUACUGAGACACGGACCAGACUCCUACGGGAGGCAGCAGUGAGGAAUAUUGGACAAUGGAGGCAACUCUGAUCCAGCCAUGCCGCGUGCAGGAAGACUGCCCUAUGGGUUGUAAACUGCUUUUAUACAGGAAGAAACACCUCUACGUGUAGAGAUUUGACGGUACUGUAAGAAUAAGGAUCGGCUAACUCCGUGCCAGCAGCCGCGGUAAUACGGAGGAUCCAAGCGUCAUCCGGAAUCAUUGGGUUUAAAGGGUCCGUAGGUGGAUAAUUAAGUCAGAGGUGAAAUCCUGCAGCUUAACUGUAGAAUUGCCUUUGAUACUGGUUGUCUUGAGUU